This 200-nucleotide ribosomal RNA is filed under the name uncultured bacterium. Its description in RNAcentral is "partial 16S ribosomal RNA". It matches the Rfam family "Bacterial small subunit ribosomal RNA", at positions 30 to 237 of the family's 1533-position model. The record is from RNAcentral.
AUUGAACGCUGGCGGCAUGCCUUACGCAUGCAAGUCGAACGGUAACAGGUUAAGCUGACGAGUGGCGAACGGGUGAGUAAUAUAUCGGAACGCGCCCAGUCGUGGGGGAUAACUGCUCGAAAGAGCAGCUAAUACCGCAUACGACCUGAGGGUGAAAGCGGGGGAUCGCAAGACCUCGCGCGAUUGGAGCGGCCGAUAUC